GAUGAACGCUGGCGGCGUGCCUAAUACAUGCAAGUAGAACGCUGAAGCUUGGUGCUGCACCGAGCGGAUGAGUUGCGAACGGGUGAGUAACGCGUAGGUAACCUGCCUCUUAGCGGGGGAUAACUAUUGGAAACGAUAGCUAAUACCGCAUAAAAGUCGAUAUCGCAUGAUAUUGAUUUGAAAGGUGCAAAUGCAUCACUAAGAGAUGGACCUGCGUUGUAUUAGCUAGUUGGUGAGGUAACGGCUCACCAAGGCGACGAUACAUAGCCGACCUGAGAGGGUGAUCGGCCACACUGGGACUGAGACACGGCCCAGACUCCUACGGGAGGCAGCAGUAGGGAAUCUUCGGCAAUGGGGGCAACCCUGACCGAGCAACGCCGCGUGAGUGAAGAAGGGUUUCGGAUCGUAAAGCUCUGUUGUAAGAGAAGAACGAGUGUGAGAGUGGAAAGUUCACACUGUGACGGUAACUUACCAGAAAGGGACGGCUAACUACGUG
RNAcentral lists this ribosomal RNA (496 nucleotides) under uncultured bacterium. Its description in RNAcentral is "partial 16S ribosomal RNA". It matches the Rfam family "Bacterial small subunit ribosomal RNA", at positions 28 to 507 of the family's 1533-position model. The record is from RNAcentral.